UGAUAGCCCCGGAUGUAAUUCCUGGU
RNAcentral lists this non-coding RNA (26 nucleotides) under Mus musculus (house mouse). Lineage: Eukaryota; Metazoa; Chordata; Mammalia; Rodentia; Muridae. The record is from RNAcentral.